RNAcentral lists this ribosomal RNA (253 nucleotides) under uncultured bacterium. RNAcentral's name for it is "partial 16S ribosomal RNA". It matches the Rfam family "Bacterial small subunit ribosomal RNA", at positions 524 to 776 of the family's 1533-position model. The record is from RNAcentral.
AACGUAGGUGACGAGCGUUAUCCGGAUUUACUGGGCGUAAAGCGUGUGCAGGCGGUUGAGUAAGUGGUGUAUGAAAGCUCCGGGCUUAACUCGGAGAGGUUAUGCCAGACUGCUCGGCUGGAGGCAGAGAGAGGGACAUGGAAUUCCGGGUGUAGUGGUGAAAUGCGUAGAGAUCCGGAGGAACUCCAGAGGCGAAGGCGGUGUCCUAGCUCUGACCUGACGCUCAGACACGAAAGCAUGGGGAGCGAACGGG